AAAAUUUGCCUUAGCAGAAUAGAAAUACUUUCCUUGUCAUCUGAAAUGUAGGAGAAUAUAGGUUGAGACAUCUGAGUUGUGUCCCCUCCUUUGUCAUAAUGCCAGCUAGUGUAAAGCUGAGAUUGAUCAAUGUACUCUAAGCUAACUUAGGACUGUGCUCUAGACCUGGUGUAUUCCUUAGGGAAUAGAGAGCCAACAGGUGAAUCACAAGAAGCAACUACCUAAACAAAGUUGAGAAUCUGAGGGUGUCCUACCAAACCUAUACUGUCC
Molecule: long non-coding RNA, 270 nt
Organism: Saccostrea echinata
Lineage: Eukaryota; Metazoa; Mollusca; Bivalvia; Ostreida; Ostreidae
Exons: 3
Source: RefSeq, a predicted model, not a curated record